AUAAUCUGGAAGUAGACGCCGACUGAGGUAUAUUCUGCGAGCUCAGCUUACCAGGUGUUCUUUGCUGGCUUCGAGAGGUUCCCAUGCGGUCGGGCCCUUUGGAAGACUUGGGCCCCGGCCAAGUGCAAGCUUCACUUCUGGCUAGCGAUGAGGCGUCGGAUUUGGACGGCAGACAGACGCCUUCGACACGGCCUCCAGUCCCACGUCAUGUGCCCAUUAUGCGAGCAGGAGGCUGAGACUGCAGACCACCUGGCACUGGGCUGUGUGUUUGCCAGGGAGGUGUGGCACUCUGCCCUCGCACGGUGCGGCCUUGGCCAGUUGGUGCCCAGCAUGGAUGCAACUCUCAUAGAGUGGUGGCCAGCCAGUCGUGCGAUGAUCCAGAAGGAGCGGAGGAAGGGGUUUGAUUCGCUUGCCCUCCUCAUCAUCUGGAUGCUAUGGAGGGACGUAAUAGUCGUGUCUUCGAGCGGUCAGCGGUCGUUGCUAGAGAGCUUUAUCGUCGCAUCAGUGAUGAGGUUGAGCUAUGGAAACUUUCUGGUGCGAGGGGGUUGUCGGACUUCUGGAGGUAGGACCUUCUAG
RNAcentral lists this ribosomal RNA (576 nucleotides) under Triticum aestivum (bread wheat). RNAcentral's name for it is "partial small subunit ribosomal RNA". The record is from RNAcentral. Lineage: Eukaryota; Viridiplantae; Streptophyta; Magnoliopsida; Poales; Poaceae.